This is a long non-coding RNA of Talpa occidentalis (Iberian mole), 421 nucleotides long. RefSeq lists it as uncharacterized. The transcript has 4 exons. Lineage: Eukaryota; Metazoa; Chordata; Mammalia; Eulipotyphla; Talpidae. The record is from RefSeq and is a predicted model, not a curated record.
CAAUGUUUUCCAAACUUCCAGAAGGCCUCUUUCAAUCGCUUGCUAUUUAUUUUACUUCUCUGACAGCUGUCAACUCCCCAUUACUUCCAAGUAUCAUCUACUCAUCUCCUAAUUCAGCAUGAAGUCAAGGAACAAUAAAUUUGAAGAAAAGAUCUUCAACCUUUUUAAAAAAGAUCUUCUUAUCAAGACACUGAAUGGAUGAUUACAUGACUCUUCUAAGUAGCAGACUUCGGUAAAGCCAUUUUCUCUAGCCUAUACCAUUUUCUCAGCCUAUACCAAACUUGAAACAAAGAGCUACAAACAGCUUAGUAAUUUCCAGGCUGGACUUUCCUCUCCAAGAAACCUGCUGAGAUCCCCUCAAAGAGUCCUGGCCUGAGUGUUAACAGUGUGGAAGAGGACAGCCAUAAAUGGUGAUCGUCAU